RNAcentral lists this non-coding RNA (96 nucleotides) under Thalassiosira oceanica. RNAcentral's name for it is "TPP sequence". It matches the Rfam family "TPP riboswitch aptamer (THI element)". Rfam says of the family: Vitamin B(1) in its active form thiamin pyrophosphate (TPP) is an essential coenzyme that is synthesised by coupling of pyrimidine and thiazole moieties in bacteria. The previously detected thiamin-regulatory element, thi box was extended, resulting in a new, highly conserved RNA secondary structure, the THI element, which is widely distributed in eubacteria and also occurs in some archaea. Analysis of operon structures identified a large number of new candidate thiamin-regulated genes, mostly transporters, in various prokaryotic organisms. The record is from Rfam by way of RNAcentral. Lineage: Eukaryota; Bacillariophyta; Thalassiosirophyceae; Thalassiosirales; Thalassiosiraceae.
UAUUGGACUUGCGGGUGCAUUGUGAAAGCUGAGAUCAUUAAACCGUCCGAACCUGAACACGGUAAUGCGUGCGAAGGGAAAGUUUAAUAAGAUUUA